Molecule: ribosomal RNA, 468 nt
Filed under: uncultured bacterium
Lineage: Bacteria
Description: partial 16S ribosomal RNA
Rfam family: Bacterial small subunit ribosomal RNA
Source: RNAcentral
GAUGAACGCUGGCGGCGUGCUUAACACAUGCAAGUCGAACGGAAAGGCCCGGCUCUUGUGGGGUUCUCGAUUGGCGAACGGGUGAGUAACACGUGAGUAAACUGCCCUUGACUUUGGGAUAACUUCAGGGAACUGGGGCUAAUACCGGAUAUGAGAUCCUGCUGCAUGGUGUGGGUUGGAAAGUUUCGGCGGUUGUGGAUGGAUUGGCGGGUUAUCAGCUUGUUGGUGGGGUAGGUGUUUACCAGGGUUUUGAAGGGUAGGCGGCAUGAGAGGGUGAACGGGCACCUUGGGACUGCGAUAGGGAGCAGACGGCUACGGGAGGCAGCAGUGGGGAAUAUUGCGGAACGGGGGGAAGCCUGUGGCGGAGACGCUGCGUGCGGAAUGACCGCUUUCGAGUUGUAAACAGCUUUGGCAUGUGAUGAAGAGUGAGUGACGGUAAUGGGUCAAGAAGCCCCGGCUAACUACGUG